Molecule: long non-coding RNA, 592 nt
Filed under: Sorghum bicolor (sorghum)
Lineage: Eukaryota; Viridiplantae; Streptophyta; Magnoliopsida; Poales; Poaceae
Description: long non-coding RNA (SBIC_LNC013870)
Source: RNAcentral
CUUGGGCUCAGGCUUAGGCUCCGGUAUCGGCAUCGGUUCGGGCUUUGGUUCUGGCUAGGGCUCAGGCUUAGGCUCAGGUUUUGGUUUUGGCAUGGGCUCAGGUUUUGGUUCAGGCUUAGGCUCCGGCUUAGGCUCAGGCUUAGGUUUUGGUUCUGGCUUGGGCUCCGGUUUUGGCAGUGGUUCAGGCUUGGGCUCAGGCUCGGGUUUUGGUUCAGGCUUAGGCUCAGGUUUUGGCUUUGGCUCAGGCUUUUUUGGCUUUGGCUUUGGUUCAGGCAUAGGCUUGGGCAUCGGUUCGGGUUUGGGCUUUGGCUCUGGCUUCGUUAUGGGUUUAGGUUGAGGCUCAGGUUUAGGUUCAGGUUUCGGCGAAGGCUCUGGAUGAGGCUCAGUUUUUGGCUCUGGACGUGGCUUGGGCUCUGGUUUAGGUUCAGGUUUGGGCUCUGGCUGUGGCAGGGGCUGCGGCUGAGGCUGGGGUUCCGGUUUGGGUUGUGGCUCCGGCUGCGGCAGCUCGGCGGCAGCACGUCCAUGCUUGCGCGCGAAGCGGCCGCCAUGGCCAAGCCCGACGCCGGCAGCCGCCGCUUCGUCGACGAAGAAG